The sequence is a small nuclear RNA, 164 nucleotides long. Its record names the gene U1. It matches the Rfam family "U1 spliceosomal RNA". Rfam says of the family: U1 is a small nuclear RNA (snRNA) component of the spliceosome (involved in pre-mRNA splicing). Its 5' end forms complementary base pairs with the 5' splice junction, thus defining the 5' donor site of an intron. There are significant differences in sequence and secondary structure between metazoan and yeast U1 snRNAs, the latter being much longer (568 nucleotides as compared to 164 nucleotides in human). The record is from Ensembl.
AUACUUACCUGGCAGGGGAGAUACCAUGAUCAUGAAGGUGGUUCACCCAGGGUGAGGCUCAGCCAUUGCACUCCGGCUGUGCUGACCCCUGCGAAUUCCCCAAAUGUGGGAAUCUCGACUGCAUAAUUUCUGGUAGUGGGGGACUGCGUUCGCGCUCUCCCCUG